GAAAACAGAAAAAGAAAGAAACGAAAGGGAGGUUUUCGGCUGGAAAAAGAAGAGAGUUGGAGAGAAAGAGGAAAACUGAGAAAGGAAGGAGGGGAGAUUGAGGGAGGUGACUGAAACUGAAAAAUCUGGAACCAAGAGAGGAGUUGGGGAAGAGAGCUUUGGGCAGUGGAAGAAAAGCAAGAAGGAAAGGAAGAAAGAAAAGCUACGGGGAAGGAAGAAAAAAAACAUAGAAGAAAAGAGGGUUGGAAGGGAGAGGGGCUGCGGGAAAAGGAAGGAUAAAAAAAAAAAAGGAAAAACUGAACAAGAGAAGGAGGGAGCUUCGUGGGGGCUAGGUUGGGAGGAAAAGCAAGAAAACAGAAAGAAAAGGGCAAAGGAGGGUUUCGGCUGAGGAAGAAAGAAAAAGGGUUUCGGGAGAAAGAAAAGAAAAAAGAAGGCAGAGCUGCAGGCAACAAAGAGAAAGAGAGGGAAGAGUGAUUGAGAAAGGGAAGAGAGAUUGCGAGAAGGGAUGGCUAAAGAACAAAGGAAGAAAGGGGGAAAAUCUGGGAGAGAGCUUCGGGUAGAGGAGUAAACAGGUGGGAAAGGGAGGAAGACUUUCAGGAAAGAAAAGGAAAAGAAGAAAGAAAAUAGGGUUUUUGGAGCUGAGAAAGAAAGAAGGAAGAAUCUGGAAAGGGUCAGAAAGGAAAGUCAGGAAAGAAAAUGAGAGAAAAAGGAGAGAGAAAAUUGCAGAAAAGUUUUCCAGAAACUGAGCCAGGGUUGGCGAAGAGGCCUUUUUCUUGGCCAAAUUCUGAUCUUGUUCUUGCUCCUUUAGGAUUUAUUUCUAUUUCUACAUUUUAUAAGUUGGUAAAGCUACAAAUUUUGUUCAGAAAACAUCUCAAAAUAAUGUCUCCAACACCUUCAAAUUUUGGCUUCAAGUUUGCUCGUUGUCAGCCCUUAAACGUUCUUCAUCAGAAAUUUGCAGCUUCAAAUUCGUCAUUCGGACGCAAUCUUUUCAACCACUCCUUGUUCAGUAGACUCCACAAGACAUCAAAGGUAAUCCCUUUUGCCUUCUACUUCUCAUACAAGCCCAGAUCUUCCCUAAAUAGGCCAAAGAUCUUGCUACAUCUUGUUCAUUAUCCUACUUUGCUGUUUUCUUCCUAGAACAGCCCACUAGUUGGGUUUUGCCGCCUGAUUCGUUACCUGAUGUUGUAUUUGGGAAAUAACAUUUGAUGUUUGAUAUUUGGUGAUAUGGUUGCUUUGGUUCAAAGUGGGUUUGGUUGAGAUGUUAGUGGUACAUUUGGGAUUGCGUCUGAGAACUCAGAAUUGCAGAUAAACAAAUUAAAAGCCGUUCUUUUGGUAUCCCUUGUGCAUGGUCUGGGUAGGAAAAUCGUUCGGGGAUGCAUAGUAUAUGGUUGGGUUUUGAUGCUAAGAUGCAUAAAGUAUUGUUUUGAUUCGAAAGAUUGCUGUUUGUUUGGAUUUUGUUAGCCGCAUAUGACCUGAAUGUUAUAGUUACGAAGUUGCAGACGAAUGAAGAAGAAAGUUUCUGCGAAGCAUGCAUGAAAUAUUUCCAAAUAUUGCACUUUAACCCCUAGUUUUCUAAGUAAUCCUGAUAUGGCCCACAAAAUUGGAAAAAUCAAUCAAUCUUGUUCUUUUAAAAUGUUAUUUUUCUUUGACAUGCUUUAAUAUGAUUUUUGGACAGAUUAUAUGUGAGUUUUAGGAGGAAAUUUGAAGUCUAAUAAUUUUUAUAGAUUUAUAAUUUUGAUUUGGGUUUUAGCAAAAGAUUUAGGUAAUUCUUUUUGUUAUUUAGUUUUAGCAAGUGGAACAAGUGAGUUUUGAUUUAUUUUUAUGAAUUUUAGCAUUUAGUUUUGAUAGACUUCAUCUUAAGCCCUUAAUUUUAUUUUAUUUUAAUUUAGACCCAUAAUAUUUAUAAUAAUACUGAUUUGACCCCUCAAACUUCUUUAAUUCUUUCAAUUGGGUCCUUAUUUAUUUUAAUUUGUUGAAUAUGGGUUGUUUACUUUUAUUUGAAUGCUUUGAUUGAUUCAAUUUCGUGUUUAUUUCCAUUUCUUGUGAUAUUUGUUAAUUAAAGUGAUGUUUUGACCUUUUUCUUUAUUUUGGAGGGUAAAUAAAAAAAUUUUCAUUUCAUUGGACCACCGAUUCAAGAGAGGUACACUCUACUCCUUUAUUUUUUAUUUUACUUGAUCCUAUGUACUCCUAUGUGACUUUAU
Molecule: long non-coding RNA, 2201 nt
Filed under: Coffea arabica (coffee)
Lineage: Eukaryota; Viridiplantae; Streptophyta; Magnoliopsida; Gentianales; Rubiaceae
Description: long non-coding RNA (CARA_LNC005575)
Source: RNAcentral